This 399-nucleotide ribosomal RNA is filed under the name Tolypocladium ophioglossoides. RNAcentral's name for it is "partial small subunit ribosomal RNA". It matches the Rfam family "Eukaryotic small subunit ribosomal RNA", at positions 30 to 432 of the family's 1831-position model. Lineage: Eukaryota; Fungi; Ascomycota; Sordariomycetes; Hypocreales; Ophiocordycipitaceae. The record is from RNAcentral.
GCUUGUCUCAAAGAUUAAGCCAUGCAUGUCUCAGUAUAAGCUUUUACACGGCGAAACUGCGAAUGGCUCAUUAAAACAGUUAUCGUUUCUUUGGUGGUUAUUGAUUACAUGGAUAACCGUGGUAAUUCUAGAGCUAAUACAUGCGCCCAGACCCAACUUUUAGGAAGGGUUGUAUUUAUUAGAUUAAAAACCAAUGCCCUCUGGGCUCUCUGGUGAUUCAUGAUAACUUCUCGAAUCGCAUGGCCUUGCGCCGGCGAUGGUUCAUUCAAAUUUCUUCCCUAUCAACUUUCGAUGUUUGGGUAGUGGCCAAACAUGGUUGCAACGGGUAACGGAGGGUUAGGGCUCGACCCCGGAGAAGGAGCCUGAGAAACGGCUACUACAUCCAAGGAAGGCAGCAGG